AGCAGUUUGCUGCUAUUUUCAUAACGUAAUAGAUAUAGUAGCAUGCCAACAUGCAAAAAAAUGCGAACGACAAAAGUAUAAGAGGCGCGAUGGUGGCGUGAGUUUGUGGACAGGAUCCAGCAGAAGCAGUAUCUCGAAGAGUGGGACGAGGACGUGUGGGAUGGUACCGUGGAGCGGUACCUGCAAAGAAGGUGGGACACCAAGGGCCAGGCAGUUAACGGCAGACGGUCAAAAACUUGCCGAACCGGCUGCCACUAUGAGAGAAAAAGAGAGAGAAAUAGUGGCUGUCCGAGGGAACUGCUGACAAUACGAUUUAUUACGGAGGACCACCUCGUGGAAAUCUCAAUCCGUGGAAAUCAAGACCGCUUUUGCUGUUAUAACAUCAAAAGGGCAAAUAGCAAAUGGCGCUACCGGACUCUAUUCUCUCUUCCCAUGGAUCUUCAUUAAAUCGCCGAUUCGUGGUUGAAUCCUUAGUCUUUGAGAAUAUUCUCAGGGUAGAUAUCAUGCUUUUCUUUUAAAAGUUUACAUUGUAAGAAACAUUCUAAGAAUUCUUUAACUUCGAUAAAAAGAAUAUAAAUUACGAGGAGAGAGAUAAAAAUUUUUACAUUUCAUCAUCUACGUUAGAGAGAUUAACAGGAAAGAAAUUAAAAAAUUGAUCUAUUUACAACGGAAUAGCAUUACAUCAUUUAGAUUAGAAGUUGGCCUUUUAAUAUUCGAGAAUACUCUUUGUAAAGAAAAAUAAUAUUUUCCGUUUGAAAUUUUGUACUAUGACAGA
Vespa mandarinia (Asian giant hornet) is the source of this 775-nucleotide long non-coding RNA. NCBI's taxonomy places the organism in Eukaryota, Metazoa, Arthropoda, Insecta, Hymenoptera, Vespidae. The record is from RefSeq and is a predicted model, not a curated record.